AUUGAACGCUGGCGGCAUGCCUAACACAUGCAAGUCGAGCGGUUGAAGGUAGUUUUCUCCUGUAUUUUGCGGCCGGCGGGUGUGUAAUUCCUGCGUAUCUCCCUUGUCUUGGGGUAUAACGUCCCAAUACGGGCCCUAAUCCCAUAUACCUUCUGACGUUUAAAGUUGGGUUUCUUCGUACCUCUCGCCAUUUGCUUUGCCUAGGUCGGAUUUCCUGGUUUGUUGGGUAAUGGCUUACCAAGGGGCCGACCCGUAACUGGUUGCAUAGUCGGAUCAGUCAAACGGGAACGGAGACACGGCCAAGACUCCUACGGGAGGAAGCAGUGGGGAAUAUUGGACAAUGGGGGAAAGCCUGAUCAAGAAAUGCCGCGUGGGGGAAGAAGGUCUUCGGAUUGUAAAGCACUUUAAGUGGGGAGGAAGGGGAGUAAGUUAAUAACUUGAUGUAGUGACGUUACCAACAGAAUAAGCACCGGCUAACUACGUG
RNAcentral lists this ribosomal RNA (484 nucleotides) under uncultured bacterium. RNAcentral describes it as "partial 16S ribosomal RNA". It matches the Rfam family "Bacterial small subunit ribosomal RNA", at positions 30 to 507 of the family's 1533-position model. The record is from RNAcentral.